RNAcentral lists this ribosomal RNA (844 nucleotides) under uncultured Chloroflexota bacterium. RNAcentral describes it as "bacterial SSU rRNA". It matches the Rfam family "Bacterial small subunit ribosomal RNA", at positions 527 to 1382 of the family's 1533-position model. The record is from RNAcentral. Lineage: Bacteria; Bacillati; Chloroflexota.
GUAGGAGGCAAACGUUAUCCGGAUUUACUGGGCGUAAAGCGCGUGUAGGUGGUACUGUAAGUAGGGCGUGAAAGCUCCUGGCUCAACUGGGAGAGGCCGUUCUAAACUACAGAACUAGAGGAUGGUAGAGGGAGGUGGAAUUCCAGGUGUAGCGGUGGAAUGCGCAGAUAUCUGGAGGAACACCGGUGGCGAAGGCGGCCUCCUGGACCAUUCCUGACACUCAGACGCGAAAGCUAGGGUAGCAAACGGGAUUAGAGACCCCGGUAGUCCUAGCCCUAAACGAUGUAGACUAGGCGUCGGAAGCUUAAUCGCUUUCGGUGUCCAAGCUAACGCGAUAAGUCUACCGCCUGGGGACUACGGCCGCAAGGUUAAAACUCAAAGGAAUUGACGGGUCCCCGCACAAGCAGCGGAGCGUGUGGUUUAAUUCGUUGCUACACGAAGAACCUUACCUGGGUUUGACAUAGCAGUGGUAGGGAAGCGAAAGCGGACCGACCCUUCGGGGAGCUGUUACAGGUGUUGCAUGGCUGUCGUCAGCUCGUGUCGUGAGAUGUUCGGUUAAGUCCGCUAACGAGCGCAACCCGCGUUGUGUGUUACAAGUGUCACACAAUACCGCCGGUAUUAAGUCGGAGGAAGGUGCGGAUGACGUCAAGUCAGCAUGACCUUUAUAUCCAGGGCUACACACACGCUACAAUGGUCAGCACAAUAGGUUGCCAAGUCGUGAGACGGAGCCAAUCCUCCAAAGCUGGCCUCAGUUCAGAUUGCAGGCUGCAACUCGCCUGCAUGAAGUUGGAGUUGCUAGUAACCGCAGGUCAGCUAUACUGCGGUGAAUACGUUCCCGGGGAUU